GAUCCAGUAGCUCAGGGGUAGAGCACUUGACUUUUAAUCAAGGGGCCGUAGGUUCAAUCCCUACCUGGAUCA
This 72-nucleotide transfer RNA is filed under the name Ignavibacteria bacterium. RNAcentral's name for it is "tRNA-Lys". It matches the Rfam family "tRNA". Rfam says of the family: Transfer RNA (tRNA) molecules are approximately 80 nucleotides in length. Their secondary structure includes four short double-helical elements and three loops (D, anti-codon, and T loops). Lineage: Bacteria; Pseudomonadati; Ignavibacteriota; Ignavibacteria. The record is from RNAcentral.